RNAcentral lists this ribosomal RNA (822 nucleotides) under Halorubrum sp. ADMK96. RNAcentral describes it as "bacterial SSU rRNA". It matches the Rfam family "Archaeal small subunit ribosomal RNA", at positions 50 to 869 of the family's 1478-position model. Lineage: Archaea; Methanobacteriati; Methanobacteriota; Halobacteria; Halobacteriales; Haloferacaceae. The record is from RNAcentral.
CAUGCUAGUCGCACGAGUUCAGACUCGUGGCGAAUAGCUCAGUAACACGUGGCCAAACUACCCUUCGGAACACAAUACCCUCGGGAAACUGAGGCUAAUAGCUGUAUACCCAUACCCACCACUGGAAUGAGUGGUAUGCCAAACGCUCCGGCGCCGAAGGAUGUGGCUGCGGCCGAUUAGGUAGACGGUGGGGUAACGGCCCACCGUGCCAAUAAUCGGUAUGGGUCAUGAGAGUGAGAACCCAGAGACGGAAUCUGAGACAAGAUUCCGGGCCCUACGGGGCGCAGCAGGCGCGAAACCUUUACACUGCACGACAGUGCGAUAGGGGGAUCCCAAGUGCACAGGCAUAGCGCCUGUGCUUUUCGGUACCGUAAGGUGGUACCAGAAUAAGGGCUGGGCAAGACCGGUGCCAGCCGCCGCGGUAAUACCGGCAGCCCAAGUGAUGGCCGAUCUUAUUGGGCCUAAAGCGUCCGUAGCUGGCCGCGCAAGUCCAUCGGGAAAUCCACCUGCUCAACAGGUGGGCGCCCGGUAGAAACUGCGUGGCUUGGGACCGGAAGGCGCGACGGGUACGUCCGGGGUAGGAGUGAAAUCCCGUAAUCCUGGACGGACCGCCGAUGGCGAAAGCACGUCGCGAGGACGGAUCCGACAGUGAGGGACGAAAGCCAGGGUCUCGAACCGGAUUAGAUACCCGGGUAGUCCUGGCCGUAAACAAUGUCUGCUAGGUGUGGCUCCCACUACGAGUGGGUGCUGUGCCGUAGGGAAGCCGCUAAGCAGACCGCCUGGGAAGUUACGUCCGCAAGGAUGAAACUUAAAGGAAUUGGC